UCUAAAUUUAAAAUAACAACAAAGACGGCUGUGAUUUCUGCUAUAUGAAAAUACGUCCUUCUUAUUGGUCAACUCACAUGUCACCUCGACUUCCGGAAAAUGGCGAUCAAAGCUAAACACUUAAAUCACGGGAGAUCCGCAUAUCUUUGUCGCUGGCAUUUAAAAUUUUCUGAUUUUUUUUUAUUAAAAAGUGAGUUUUGUGUACACUACUUUUUCGGAAAUUCUUGUUUGUGCUUUGCUCAGCCUCUCCAAAAAACACGGUUUAAUACUACACAUCAGCACACUGUCGUCCAGCGGACGAACCGGCAGGGAUAUUAUUAAUUAACUUGAGGGCAGUUAAUGAAGUUUCCUAAUUAAAUUUUGCCAAUGCAGCGCGACGCGGCCCUCUUCCGAAGAGGAGACCUGGAUCAUCUCCUGAAUUUAAUUUUCGGCCUUACGAUGACCUAUGUAGCAUGCAUAGGUACCCAAGGGAUCCACCAUCUUCUGGUUUACAAGGAUAGGUGCUCUAAUACUAGAGGCUUUAGCCAGAUACGACCUGGCACCCAAGCUACGCAAGUCUUCUUCGUGUACAUAUUGCGUGGGACCUCGGGGACGGGAUACGGACACAUUUGAAGAUGAAGAGAAGAUGUACUUCGGUAGAUUAUCGAUCUUAUGAAGCAAUCUAGAGACUGUAUUUUGCUUGUAAAAAAUGAAAUACUGCAAUAUGGUCUGAAAACCCUGGUUUAUCCUCUCAUACCUCAAAUUGUACCAGCUGUAAAAAUUGAUUGUCCUAGCUGAUGAAACAUCUUGAAGUGACCACUUUGUGUUUUAAAUGAAAUGCUACAAUAACAUAUUGACAUUCUUGGCUAACAUCCGAUAUGUUGAUGGAACAGCAGCAGUAGGUUGUCUUGACUUUUUCGCAAAUCUCAAAAUUGAAAGAACUACCAGCAUUCUUCUUAGAGUAUUUAUUUUGCUGCUUCUAGCUGUUGCUUCCCUCCUGCUCCUCCUCAUCGUCAACAGGAUUCAGCAAAAAUUCCUCCUGCUAGUUGUAAACUUUUAUAACAUAUAAUUUACUAAUGUAGGUAAUUUAAAUUUUUAAGUAUGUUUCUAAUAAUAAUAAAUUUUAAAUAGUAUUAUUAAAAAUUGAUAACUAAA
This 1134-nucleotide long non-coding RNA is filed under the name Sitophilus oryzae (rice weevil). RNAcentral describes it as "uncharacterized LOC115876892, transcript variant X2". Lineage: Eukaryota; Metazoa; Arthropoda; Insecta; Coleoptera; Curculionidae. The record is from RNAcentral.